GCUACGGCCAUAUCAGCCUGGGUACGCCCGAUCUCGUCUGAUCUCGGAAGCUAAGCAGGGUCGGGCAUGGUUAGUACUUGGAUGGGAGACCGCCUGGGAAUACCAGGUGCUGUAAGCA
Molecule: ribosomal RNA, 118 nt
Filed under: Salmo salar (Atlantic salmon)
Lineage: Eukaryota; Metazoa; Chordata; Actinopteri; Salmoniformes; Salmonidae
Source: RNAcentral